This 603-nucleotide ribosomal RNA is filed under the name uncultured Shigella sp. RNAcentral describes it as "bacterial SSU rRNA". It matches the Rfam family "Bacterial small subunit ribosomal RNA", at positions 900 to 1501 of the family's 1533-position model. The record is from RNAcentral. Lineage: Bacteria; Pseudomonadati; Pseudomonadota; Gammaproteobacteria; Enterobacterales; Enterobacteriaceae.
CUCAAAUGAAUUGACGGGGGUCAGCACAAGCGGUGGAGACAUGUGGUUUAAUUCGAUGCAACGCGACGUACCUUACUUGGUCUUGACAUCCACUGAAGAUUUCUGAGAUGAGAAUAUGCAUGUCGGAACCGUGAGACAGGUGUUGCAUGGCUGUGAUCAGAACCGUGUUGUGAAAUGUUGGGUUAAGUCCCGCAACGAGCGCAACCCUUUCCUUUGUUGCCAGCGGUCCGGCCGGGAAAUCAAAGGAGACUGCCAGUGAUAAAUUGGAGGAAGGUGGGGAUGACGUCAAGUCAUCAUGGCCCUUAGGACCAGGGUUACACACGUGCUACAAUGGUGCAUACAACGAGAAGCGACCUCUCGAGAGCAAGCGGACAUCAUAAAGUGGGUCGUAGUCCGGAUUGGAGUCUGCAACUCGACUCCAUGAAGUCGGAAUCGUGGAGUUAUCGUGGAUCAGAAUGCCACGGUGAAUAAGUUCCCGGGCCUUGUACACACCGCCCGUCACACCAUGGGAGCGGGUGGCAAAAGAAGUAGGUAGCUUAACCUUCGGGAGGGCGCUUACCACUUUGUGAUUCAUGACUGGGGUGAAGUCGUGGCAAGGUAGCC